GCAUUUCCUAUCUACUGCUGCUGAUAAAACCAACUAGUCCAUGGUUUCCUGACUCUCACCUUGCUUCCUUACUAACAUUACUUAAGCAACGUAACACAAUCAGAUCUCAAUGUAACCAACACAAGAAUAAUGCAGAAGAUUCUUGCAGUUAGCAGCACAUGUAAAUUUUAGUGAUUGAGCAAUUGCUGUCGUUGAUAUGCAUGAAUAGACCUUGUAAUUUUACAAAUUUGUUUCCUGUUAUUUUAUUGUCUUUCCAGUGAUUGCAUUUCAGAUUGAGUGCAAAACUGCUGACAUGGAACCGCUAAAUUGGAAAUGCUCUGGAGACCAAAGCUGGAGUUUGUUGUGCAUAUAUAGCAACCAUUGGAGGCAAUUUUAACCUAACUUGCUGGGGGGAAAGCCCAUGAGACCAGAUGGAAUGCUGAUUUUAAUGGAGACCGAAGUCAGGAGAUCAGACAGCGCCCAAUUGCCCAGAUUUUCGCCAUGACAGAGAGCCUCUCUGUCCUUUUUCAGCAAUGCUAAAGA
This is a long non-coding RNA of Carcharodon carcharias (great white shark), 522 nucleotides long. RefSeq lists it as uncharacterized. The transcript has 3 exons. NCBI's taxonomy places the organism in Eukaryota, Metazoa, Chordata, Chondrichthyes, Lamniformes, Lamnidae. The record is from RefSeq and is a predicted model, not a curated record.